AUUUCCUUUCGCAAGGAGCCUGGUGGGUAACGAUGGUGUGCUGCUGAGAAGGCUCUUACACAGACAGCAUAGGUCUGCUGUUACCAGGCCUGCAGAGGGAAGCCCUGGUGGAAGCACCACCUAGCCUGAGAACAUCUACAGAGACAUUUCAUCCUCUCUGACCCAAAACAAAAUAAACACCACAAAGUGAACCAACACAAGCAGGAAGACCGGACUUAACAAACAAAUGGGGAAACUGAGGCCAUGAGAAAUUAAGUGACUUGCCCAUGGCUACACUGAUGAUUAACCACAAUGUGAAGAUUAGAAUUAAUCUCCUGACUCCUGAUCCAGUGGUCUUUCCUGGGAAUUUGUCUCUUCCCCCCUGCUGCUCCUGCCGUGGUCUUCACUGCCCAACAAGAAGGUCCUGUUUCUACUGAUCCAUUAAGCAGUACUUAACCGUCUUGGGGGAGGGUCCAGCCCAGCAGCGCUACAUGGGGCUUUCGAAAGGUGCCAAUGAACUGACUUGGUCUCACAAUUGGAAAACAAGGCCUGCUCUGCUGCCUGGGCCUCCUGGCCUCACCUUUGCUGUGUUCACCCUCUACCUCUGCUUCCCCUGCAGAAUUAGACAGCUAAAAACAUUUCUAUCAGCCUAAGAAGCUAUUUACUUUAGAAAAAAAGCACACUGUCUUUGUGAGACUCACCCUUGCAUUUAUCUUCCUUCAGGAAGAGGGUCAAAGCAAAGCCAACUGGGGACCCCAGCUGAUUCUGCUGCUUCUUCCACUAAACACAUCCAUAAUAUUCUCUUUGGUAAUACUGCAGAUUUCCAAAUGUGCCAAAACAGCUAAGCAAAAAGCAUCAUUCCAACACGUUUAAUGACUGCUUUGGGAGCCCAACUUUAACAGGUAUUAAAACCACAGGACUCUCCACAGGAGUACAUAGAU
This 920-nucleotide long non-coding RNA is filed under the name Homo sapiens (human). RNAcentral's name for it is "HSALNT0302762". The record is from RNAcentral. Lineage: Eukaryota; Metazoa; Chordata; Mammalia; Primates; Hominidae.